This 521-nucleotide ribosomal RNA is filed under the name Calosphaeriales sp. A101. RNAcentral describes it as "eukaryotic LSU rRNA". The stretch from base 139 to 292 matches the Rfam family "5.8S ribosomal RNA". Lineage: Eukaryota; Fungi; Ascomycota; Sordariomycetes; Calosphaeriales. The record is from RNAcentral.
UGUUCUUGCUUUCGGCAGGCAGCCCCAGGGCGGGGCUCGCUGGCCACUGGGGGGGCAACCCCCCAAGGCGCCUGCCGGACGGCACCCAAACAAACUCUUUGCUAUAUUUUUGCUAUCUGAGUACCUGAAAAUAAUCAAAACUUUCAACAACGGAUCUCUUGGUUCUGGCAUCGAUGAAGAACGCAGCGAAAUGCGAUAAGUAAUGUGAAUUGCAGAAUUCAGUGAAUCAUCGAAUCUUUGAACGCACAUUGCGCCCACUAGUACUCUAGUGGGCAUGCCUGUUCGAGCGUCAUUUUCCACCCUCGAGCCCCUGCGGCUCGGUGUUGGGGCUCUACAGCGGUGUCCCUCGCGGCGCCCGUAGGCCCUUAAAGCCAGUGGCGGGCUCGCCAGUCGUCCGGGCGUGGUAUCACUAUCGCCUAGGAGGCCUGGCGGGUUGCUAGCCGUUAAACCCCCAUAUUCUAGAAGGUUGACCUCGGAUCAGGUAGGAAUACCCGCUGAACUUAAGCAUAUCAAUAAGCGGA